AGUGAACGCUGGCGGUAGGCCUAACACAUGCAAGUCGAACGGCAGCACAGUAAGAGCUUGCUCUUACGGGUGGCGAGUGGCGGACGGGUGAGGAAUACAUCGGAAUCUACUUUUUCGUGGGGGAUAACGUAGGGAAACUUACGCUAAUACCGCAUACGACCUACGGGUGAAAGCAGGGGAUCUUCGGACCUUGCGCGAUUGAAUGAGCCGAUGUCGGAUUAGCUAGUUGGCGGGGUAAAGGCCCACCCAGGCGACGAUCCGUAGCUGGUCUGAGAGGAUGAUCAGCCACACUGGAACUGAGACACGGUCCAGACGCCUACGGGAGGCAGCAGUGGGGAAUAGUGGAGAAAGGGCGCAAGCCUGAUCCAGCCAUACCGCGUGGGUAAAGAAGGCCGUCGGGUUGUAAAGCCCUUUUGUUGGGAAAGAAAAGCAGCAGGUUAAUACCCCGCUGUUCUGACGGUACCCAAAGAAUAAGCACCGGCUAACUUCGUG
Molecule: ribosomal RNA, 492 nt
Filed under: uncultured bacterium
Lineage: Bacteria
Description: partial 16S ribosomal RNA
Rfam family: Bacterial small subunit ribosomal RNA
Source: RNAcentral